This 69-nucleotide transfer RNA is filed under the name Nocardiopsis terrae. Its description in RNAcentral is "tRNA-OTHER". Lineage: Bacteria; Bacillati; Actinomycetota; Actinomycetes; Streptosporangiales; Nocardiopsidaceae. The record is from RNAcentral.
ACGUGACGGUACGCGACCAUAGAACUUCUAAUCCGAUGGCCGCAGGUUCGAAUCCUGCCGGGUGCGCCA